GACGAACGCUGGCGGCGUGCUUAACACAUGCAAGUCGAACGGUAAGGCCUUCGGGUACACGAGUGGCGAACGGGUGAGUAACACGUGGGUGAUCCGCCCUGCACUUCGGGAUAAGCCUGGGAAACUGGGUCUAAUACCGGAUAUGACUUCUGGCUUCAUGGUUGGGAGUGGCAAGCUUUUGCGGUGUGGGAUGGGCCCGCGGCCUAUCAGCUUGUUGGUGGGGUAAUGGCCUACUAAGGCGACGACGGGUAGCCGGCGUGGGAGGGUGUCCGGCGACACAGGGAAUGGGAUCGGGCCCAGAUUCCUACUGGGGUAAGCAGUGGGGAAUAUUGCACAAUGUGGGCAGGACUGAUGCAGCGACGACGCGUGGGGGAUGACGGCCUUCGGGUUGUAAACCGCGUUCAGUAGGGACGAAGCGCAAGUGACGGUACCUACAGAAGAAGCGCCGGCCAACUACGUGCCAGCAGCCGCGGUAA
RNAcentral lists this ribosomal RNA (476 nucleotides) under uncultured bacterium. RNAcentral's name for it is "partial 16S ribosomal RNA". It matches the Rfam family "Bacterial small subunit ribosomal RNA", at positions 28 to 523 of the family's 1533-position model. The record is from RNAcentral.